RNAcentral lists this microRNA precursor (89 nucleotides) under Nicotiana attenuata. RNAcentral describes it as "MIR6152 microRNA precursor family". It matches the Rfam family "MIR6152 microRNA precursor family". Lineage: Eukaryota; Viridiplantae; Streptophyta; Magnoliopsida; Solanales; Solanaceae. The record is from Rfam by way of RNAcentral.
UGGACAGAUUAUUGUAUUCGACUGUAUUCACGGCGUGAAAUAGGGGAUUACACUAUUUUUAAAACAAAAGUGAAUCAUAAUAGACUCCU